This 72-nucleotide transfer RNA is filed under the name Bos taurus (domestic cattle). It matches the Rfam family "tRNA". Rfam says of the family: Transfer RNA (tRNA) molecules are approximately 80 nucleotides in length. Lineage: Eukaryota; Metazoa; Chordata; Mammalia; Artiodactyla; Bovidae. RNAcentral also lists the same sequence under 2 other names. The record is from Rfam by way of RNAcentral.
UCCCUGGUGGCUCAGAUGGUAAAGAAUCUGCCUGCAAUGCAGGAGACCCAGGCUCAAUUCCUGGGUUGGGAA